This 446-nucleotide ribosomal RNA is filed under the name uncultured bacterium. RNAcentral describes it as "partial 16S ribosomal RNA". It matches the Rfam family "Bacterial small subunit ribosomal RNA", at positions 338 to 795 of the family's 1533-position model. The record is from RNAcentral.
CCUACGGGUGGCAGCAGUCGAGAAUCAUUCACAAUGGGGGAAACCCUGAUGGUGCGACGCCGCGUGGGGGAAUGAAGGUCUUCGGAUUGUAAACCCCUGUCAUGUGGGAGCAAAUUAAAAAGAUAGUACCACAAGAGGAAGAGACGGCUAACUCUGUGCCAGCAGCCGCGGUAAUACAGAGGUCUCAAGCGUUGUUCGGAAUCACUGGGCGUAAAGCGUGCGUAGGCUGUUUCGUAAGUCGUGUGUGAAAGGCGCGGGCUCAACCCGCGAACGGCACAGGAUACUGCGAGACUAGAGUGAUGGAGGGGGAACCGGAAUUCUCGGUGUAGCAGUGAAAUGCGUAGAUAUCGGGAGGAACACUCGUGGCGAAGGCGGGUUCCUGGACAUUAACUGACGCUGAGGCACGAAGGCCAGGGGAGCGAAAGGGAUUAGAUACCCUAGUAGUC